RNAcentral lists this ribosomal RNA (253 nucleotides) under uncultured bacterium. Its description in RNAcentral is "partial 16S ribosomal RNA". It matches the Rfam family "Bacterial small subunit ribosomal RNA", at positions 524 to 776 of the family's 1533-position model. The record is from RNAcentral.
UACAGAGGUCUCAAGCGUUGUUCGGAUUCAUUGGGCGUAAAGGGUGCGUAGGUGGCGGGGUAAGUCAGGUGUGAAAUUUCGGAGCUUAACUCCGAAACUGCAUUUGAUACUGCCUUGCUUGAGGACUGGAGAGGAGACUGGAAUUCACGGUGUAGCAGUGAAAUGCGUAGAGAUCGUGAGGAAGACCAGUGGCGAAGGCGGGUCUCUGGACAGUUCCUGACGCUGAGGCACGAAGGUCAGGGGAGCAAACGGG